AUGCCUUUACCAACAGUUUACUACUGAACUCCAGUUUCCCCUCCUGUACCUACAAUCCUACCUACCCAGGGUUUCCAUUCCCCGACGGCACUCCAGGCGUGCCAGUGAUACCACCCACCGCCAAGGUCGGCGACCAUUAACCACCUAUCGACCCCUAUUGGGCCACACACGCACACUAUUUUCAAUCAUUUUUGUCACCAACAUCAGCGACCAUUAUUCACCUACCGACCCCUAUCGGGCAACAUACACACACUCUAAUCAUUCUCUCCCGUCACCACCAUCGGCGACCGUUAGCCAUCUAUCGACUUAUACCAGGCCACUCACACACACCCUGAUCAUUCUCUCUCGUCACCUAUAUCAGCGACCACUAGCCAUCUCUCGACCCAUACCAGGCCACGUACGCACACCAUUUUCAUUCACUUGUGUCACCAACAUCGACGACCAUUAGCCAUCUCUCGACCAAUACCAGACCACUCACACACACUCUGAUCAUUCUCUCCCGUCACCGAUAUCGGCGACCACUAACCAUCCCUUGACCCAUACCAGGCCACGUACGCACACCAUUUUCAUUCACUUGUGUCACCAACAUCGACGACCAUUAGCCAUCUCUCGACCUAUACCAGGCCACUCACACACACUCUGAUCAUUCUCUCCCGUCACCGAUAUCGGCGACCACUAAC
Molecule: long non-coding RNA, 680 nt
Filed under: Carica papaya (papaya)
Lineage: Eukaryota; Viridiplantae; Streptophyta; Magnoliopsida; Brassicales; Caricaceae
Description: long non-coding RNA (CPAP_LNC006600)
Source: RNAcentral